UACAGAGGUCUCAAGCGUUGUUCGGAUUCAUUGGGCGUAAAGGGUGCGUAGGCGGCGCGGUAAGUCGGGUGUGAAAUCUCGGAGCUUAACUGUCGAGGUGCAAUUGAUACUGAUGGACUUGAGUACUGAUGAGGUAAGCGGAAUGGACGGUGUAGCGGUGAAAUGCUUAGAUAUCGUCCAGAACACCGAUAGCGAAGGCAGCUUACUAAGGAGUAACUGACGCUGAGGCACGAAAGUGUGGGGAUCAAACAGG
RNAcentral lists this ribosomal RNA (253 nucleotides) under uncultured bacterium. RNAcentral describes it as "partial 16S ribosomal RNA". It matches the Rfam family "Bacterial small subunit ribosomal RNA", at positions 524 to 776 of the family's 1533-position model. The record is from RNAcentral.